UACGGAGGGUGCAAACGUUGCUCGGAAUCAUUGGGGCGUAAAAGCGCACGUAGGCGGACCUGUAAGUCGGGGAGUGAAAGCCCCCGGGGCUUAACCCCGGGGAAGUGCUUUCGAAACUGCAGGUCUUUGAGUACUGGAGGGGGCGGCGGAAUUCCCGGUGUAGAGGUGAAAUUCGUAGAUAUCGGGAGGAACACCAGUGGCGAAGGGCGGCCGCCUGGACAGGAUACUGACGCUGGAGGUGCGAAAGCGUGGG
Molecule: ribosomal RNA, 253 nt
Filed under: uncultured bacterium
Lineage: Bacteria
Description: partial 16S ribosomal RNA
Rfam family: Bacterial small subunit ribosomal RNA
Source: RNAcentral